GUGAGGAAUAUUGGACAAUGGGCGCAAGCCUGAUCCAGCCAUGCCGCGUGCAGGAAGACGCAUCUAUGGUGUGUAAACUGCUUUUGUACGGGAAGAAACACUCCCUCGUGAGGGAGCUUGACGGUACCGUAAGAAUAAGGAUCGGCUAACUCCGUGCCAGCAGCCGCGGUAAUACGGAGGAUCCAAGCGUUAUCCGGAAUCAUUGGGUUUAAAGGGUCCGUAGGCGGUUUAAUAAGUCAGUGGUGAAAGCCCAUCGCCCAACGAUGGAACGGCCAUUGAUACUGUUAGACUUGAAUUACAAGAAAGUAACUAGAAUAUGUAGUGUAGCGGUGAAAUGCUUAGAUAUUACAUGGGAUACCAAUUGCGAAGGCAGGUUACUACUUGUGGAUUGACGCUGAUGGACGAAAGCGUGGGGAGCGAACAGGAUUAGAAACCCCGGUAGUCC
RNAcentral lists this ribosomal RNA (445 nucleotides) under uncultured bacterium. RNAcentral's name for it is "partial 16S ribosomal RNA". It matches the Rfam family "Bacterial small subunit ribosomal RNA", at positions 354 to 796 of the family's 1533-position model. The record is from RNAcentral.